UAAUGUGUUUCCCUCAGUUUUAGUUUGUAACCCCAAAUCCGGGUUACAAACUGAAACUGAGGGAAACACAUCAACU
This 76-nucleotide small RNA is filed under the name Mytilus galloprovincialis (Mediterranean mussel). The record is from RNAcentral. Lineage: Eukaryota; Metazoa; Mollusca; Bivalvia; Mytilida; Mytilidae.